RNAcentral lists this ribosomal RNA (495 nucleotides) under uncultured bacterium. RNAcentral's name for it is "partial 16S ribosomal RNA". It matches the Rfam family "Bacterial small subunit ribosomal RNA", at positions 28 to 507 of the family's 1533-position model. The record is from RNAcentral.
GACGAACGCUGGCGGCGUGCCUAAUACAUGCAAGUAGAACGCUGAAGGAGGAGCUUGCUUCUCUGGAUGAGUUGCGAACGGGUGAGUAACGCGUAGGUAACCUGCCUGGUAGCGGGGGAUAACUAUUGGAAACGAUAGCUAAUACCGCAUAAUAUUGACUGUUGCAUGAUAGUCAGUUGAAAGGUGCAACUGCACCACUACCAGAUGGACCUGCGUUGUAUUAGCUAGUUGGUGGGGUAACGGCUCACCAAGGCGACGAUACAUAGCCGACCUGAGAGGGUGAUCGGCCACACUGGGACUGAGACACGGCCCAGACUCCUACGGGAGGCAGCAGUAGGGAAUCUUCGGCAAUGGACGGAAGUCUGACCGAGCAACGCCGCGUGAGUGAAGAAGGUUUUCGGAUCGUAAAGCUCUGUUGUAAGAGAAGAACGAGUGUGAGAGUGGAAAGCUCACACUGUGACGGUAUCUUACCAGAAAGGGACGGCUAACUACGUG